GUUUGAAUAAUCGAUCUUGCUUAUAAUUUUGGUUUGCUUCCUUGUAGCUUUAUUGCCAUUUCUACGUUUUAAUUUUGCUGUUUCUUUCACUAUUACCUCAAUUAUCCUUAAAAGGAACUUUUCUUGUGUUCUCACCAGCAAUUAUAUUAGUGAGUAAGUUUUAUAAUAUGGUAUGCCACCUUGAUUUUUAUAAUUAAAUUAUUCAGCACAUAGUGCUAAUCCACUCAUUCAAGCCCAAAGGGUUUUUGCAUGAAGGGAUUUACUUGGGAAUGUAGUGUAGAAUGAAAUAGACUCUAGUCUUUUGGCUUGAAGGGCAUGUUAAAGAGAAUGUUAUAUCACUUCUAUUUUUAGAAGUUUAAUUUUUUAGGUUGAUU
RNAcentral lists this unclassified non-coding RNA (374 nucleotides) under Hevea brasiliensis (rubber tree). Lineage: Eukaryota; Viridiplantae; Streptophyta; Magnoliopsida; Malpighiales; Euphorbiaceae. The record is from RNAcentral.